UCUCCGUUGGUGAACCAGCGGAGGGCUCAUUACCGAGUUUACAACUCCCAAACCCCUGUGAACAUACCAUUUGUUGCCUCGGCGGUGCCUGCUUCGGCAGCCCGCCAGAGGACCCAAACCCUUGAUUUUAUACAGUAUCUUCUGAGUAAAUGAUUAAAUAAAUCAAAACUUUCAACAACGGAUCUCUUGGUUCUG
Molecule: unclassified non-coding RNA, 195 nt
Filed under: plant metagenome
Description: partial contains small subunit ribosomal RNA, internal transcribed spacer 1, and 5.8S ribosomal RNA
Source: RNAcentral